This is a long non-coding RNA of Hemicordylus capensis (graceful crag lizard), 2618 nucleotides long. RefSeq lists it as uncharacterized. The transcript is spliced from 5 exons. The record is from RefSeq and is a predicted model, not a curated record. NCBI's taxonomy places the organism in Eukaryota, Metazoa, Chordata, Lepidosauria, Squamata, Cordylidae.
ACAGUUAUAUCUGAGGAAUAGCUACAGCGAGAAAGAAGAGGUUGGGAGAAGCUAAGAAGAAGGAAAGAAGAGACACUACAGUGGAAGAACACACUUUGGGAAGAGCAGGAUCAGCCCCUUUUUCAUUUCGGUUUCCCUCUUCUGCUGCACCUUCUUCAGUUCGACAGUAUCCCCUUUGUGUAAUCUGGUGACCGGAACAAUACACAUUACUUCUGAGGAACAGCUACAACUGGAAACAAGAGGUUGGGAGAAGCUAAGAAGAAGGAAAGAAGAGACACUACAGUGGAAGAACAAACUUUGGGAAGAGCAGGAUCAGCCCCCUUAUCAUUUCAAUUUCCAUCUUCUGCUACACCUUCUUCAGUUCGACAGUAUCCCCUUUUAGUAAUCCGGUGACCGGAACGAUACACAUUACUUCUGAGGAACAGCUACAACUGGAAACAAGGUCAGCUUCAUGUUGUUGUUGUUGUUCUUGUUCUUGUUCUUGUUGUUGUUAUACCCCAGUAAGCUCCCAGACCACCUUGGGUUUAUUUUCUCUUUUUGACAGUUAAAGCACCACAUUUUCAUUGAUGCCAGGAGAUGUUGAACAGUAGGGCACACAUCUUGGGGUGCCUCUGCUAUGGCACAAGAGAUAUUCCCAGACUGAUUGGGCAAGGUUCGGACCACAAUGUGUGUCUGGACAUUUAAAUUUGCAUUCUGAUUGGGCAAAACCUCUCGGGUUUUUAAAUUCUGUCUUGAUCGAAUUGGGCAAGAUCUCUAGGAUUUUUAAAUUGUAUAUGGAAUUGGGCAAGAUCAAAGGCCUGUGUGGGCCUCGAUUUUUAAAUUGUAUCCCCCAGCUUGACAUUGACAUUUGUAUUCUGAUUGGGCAAGACCUCUAGGGUUUUUAAAUUCUGUAAGGAAUUGGGCAAGAUCAGGGCCUGUGUGGGCCUCGAUUUUUAAAUUGCAUCCCCCAGCUUGACUGAGCACACAGUCUCUAGGUUCCCUUAGAGUGGAUUGGGCAUGAUACCAUUUUUUUUUAAAUUUCCAUGUUUGGGCAGCUUUAAGCCAGUGGACUGGAGUCCCAUGAGCUUGGAAUCUCCAAUGGCUCAACUGGCCAAGACAAUUGGUGUCUUUAAAUUCUGUCUGGGCCUUUUGGACAUAUUUUUUAGCUGGGGGUAGUGUUAAAUUUGGAUGGACUGACCACCCACUUUUAUUCAUGCUCUUGAUCAAGUCUGAAUCAAAUGGAUCACGUUGCGUGUUUUAUAUGCGCUGUGUCCCAGGUUUUGAAUUACCCAUGAAGAGAUGACUUCUUGUUUCGUGCGCUCAUGGCCAUCUCGGAUCCUUAUUCCUUACUCAAGGAAGGCAUUGAUUUUGAAUGCUGGGCUCAAGGUUUUGAUGUUUUUCAGUCUAUUGAUAAAAUGGAAGGAAUCAUUUCACAUGCAAAUGUUUAAAUUGUUUGUGUCAUGCAAGGGUUUUGAGAACUGUUUGGAUUAAAGAAAUAGUUUGAUUGCCUUGUCAGCAAGAAAGGUGCCUGCAGCCUAGGUGCAAAUCAUUCUAUCUUGCACAGACAUAAAAAGCUUUGUGGAAGGUUGACUUUGUUGAAGAUGAUGUUUAGCAUUUUAGCAUUCAAGACUCUUCAGACAUGGAUUGCGUGAACGCCUGGCCUGAGAAAUUGACACAAGAUAGAGCAGAGGUGAAUGCACCUUCUUAAGAAGAGGAAGGCAGAUCACCAAAGGCGGCAGGAGUCCUGUGAUGAGGAUGGGGUGAGUACCUGGGCCUGACUGGUUGGAUGAAACCCCAUCCGUACUGGACCUUUUCCAUACCAGAUGCCAAUUUUUUUUAAAAAAAUUAAAAGUUUGGCACUGACAUUUCUUAGUGACUCUUCUACUUAGUUUGCGAGAAGUUAAGAAGAAAGCCAGAAGAAACUCUACAUUCAUCUCAUGCACUUUAGUAAGGGAAGGACCAGCCCCUUGGAUCAGCCCCUUGAUCAUUUCAGUUUCCCUCUGAUGCACUGAUUGCAGCUCAACAGUAUUCCUUUUUUUGCAGUCCGGUGACCAGAACGAUAAAGAGUAGUUUUCCCAACUGUUGCUAUCCAGGGAGGCACCACUCUGGCCCUCCUGUAGAUGUUUGACUACAAUUCCCAUGAUCCCUGACUACCGGCCACUAUGGAAGUCAUCCUAACUUCAACUGACUUGGAUGUAUGUCUUUUGGCAUUAACUUGAAUUCUUUUCCAAGCUAUUCCAACCAGAGAUGCACAUUCCUAGUUGUCAGUGUCGCCAGAGGUUUCCAGAGGCCUCUCCAUUUUAAGGGUACCUUGCUUGUUCAAAUCACUAUGGAUCUCUUCUCUAUGUGUUGCUGAUGGAGAUGCUUCUCCCCAGAUAAAACCAUAAACCAUGCAUUCGCUUCACAGUGGGUGGGAGGUUGCGGGACAGAGAGGUCCCUACCUGCAUGAGGUCUCACUUUUAUUGUUGCAGACUUCUGCUGCUUGGUCAGAAUUUUAGAUCUGCAAAACAGUGUUGGAGAGAAGGACAGCCCACUCCAUCCAUCGGAGCUCUUUUUACCUCAAAGAUAUUAUCCUUAGUAUUGUUAUUUCUGUUGUUGUUGUUGUUGUUACUGCCACUUUUAAGAGCAUGCCAUAUCUC